RNAcentral lists this ribosomal RNA (253 nucleotides) under uncultured prokaryote. Its description in RNAcentral is "partial 16S ribosomal RNA". It matches the Rfam family "Bacterial small subunit ribosomal RNA", at positions 525 to 777 of the family's 1533-position model. The record is from RNAcentral.
ACGUAGGGUGCGAGCGUUAAUCGGAAUUACUGGGCGUAAAGUGUGCGCAGGCGGCAGAGCAAGUCGAGUGUGAAAGCCCCGGGCUUAACUUGGGAAUUGCGCUCGAAACUACUUUGCUGGAGUGUGGCAGAGGAAGGUGGAAUUCCACGUGUAGCGGUGAAAUGCGUAGAGAUGUGGAGGAACACCAAUGGCGAAGGCAGCCUUCUGGGCCAACACUGACGCUCAUGCACGAAAGCGUGGGGAGCAAACAGGA